This is a long non-coding RNA of Thalassophryne amazonica, 1837 nucleotides long. RefSeq lists it as uncharacterized. The record is from RefSeq and is a predicted model, not a curated record. Lineage: Eukaryota; Metazoa; Chordata; Actinopteri; Batrachoidiformes; Batrachoididae. The transcript has 2 exons.
AAAAAAAAAAUCGUCAAUGAGUGGGUAAGCUAGUUCAUCCCAGUCAUCUUGUGCAGACGAUAACCCAAAAACCAAUAAAUGCAAUCAUUUUAUACAUCCCCAAAUUAAAUGGGCAUAUAAUAAGGUCAAACUGAUCGAAAGCUGGCAAACUUUCAUGCACCAGAUCAAUCAAGAAGGUAGCUUUGAUUAGCCAUAGACAUUUCUGGUACCCGCUUUAUAUGAACAACAACUUAAGCUGGUACCGCCAGGAGAAGCAUGAUGUGAUGGGGUUAGAUUAGCAUGUAGUGAGGCGCCACAGCUAGUAAAGGUCUGCCAUUAUUACACUAGUUUAAGAAGUGGCAUUUAUACAAUAAAUUACCUCCGAGUGUAAAUUUGUUGUCUGGCAGAGAAGUCUAGUGUACAGUUGUGAUCCAUAUUGCAACAAAUCCAGUUAAAACUGGGCACGCCUAUGCAACUAUCUACGGAGAUAAUGCAGGGAUUUACAAUACCAAUUAUCAUUAUUAUUUCUAAUUGUUUAAAUUGAGCAUCUACAUGUAGGUCUUAAAACUAGACACGAUUACUUUAAAAUGGAAAAGGCUUUCCUCCCACGUGGUAGGUUAAAGACUAGAUAAGCAUGCUGCUCUUCCACUAUGACUUCCAACAACCUCAAAGGAUGCCAGUUCCUCAUUUUCCACUUUUCUCUUGUGAGCCAAAACAGUUAGUUACAUCACAAAAAAAGUCAAUGGGUUUGUUACUCUGCAGUCAAAUCUGACUGACACCAACAAAGCAUGCAAGACCAGAUUUAAGAAAGAGGUACUGCAAUAACCAGGCAGCCGUGCUCAUCUCAGGAUACUGUAGUGUGAAGCAGAUGAGAGUGUACAGUGCCCCCUGGGCAGAAUGCCAGUCCAUUACAAGGUAUUCCCUCCAGCCAAGGUUGGUACUCAUUUUCAGCUGGGUGAACUGGGACAUUUCAGAUGAUGUGUCUUGCCAAAGCGUGAGGUGGACUAACUCUUCUCACACUGAGCUACCUGCUCUGCCUCAAUGCAAGGAUAAGGUAGUAAACCAACGACCAUCCAGCGAUGGUCUAGGUCAGGGGUUGAUGUCCACUUACAUGGCAUGUCAAUAAACAGGCUUGAUUCAUUCAGAAUCAGAAGGAAAAAACAAAAAAACAGGACCUCAAGUGAGCACUAACUGAGUGGAUUGUUAUUAUUCUACAUUCACAAUCCUGAGUAACUGCAAGCUGCUUUGCUAGAUGGCUUAACGGUUGCUGAAUGGAACCAGUUCAUGAAGAAUAAAAAAUGUUUUUGGUCAAAGAUGGAAAAACUGGCAUUGAGGGAAUAGUUUUGCUGUGCCCCAUCUUCAGGUGGUCAAAAUCCGAUGGCUCUUGAGGCUACGGCAUGAGCCCUAGGAAUUAGAUCGGGAAGAAACACUAGAAAUCAACACAAAGCCAUUUGUUACUUCAUCCAGUGAUGAGAUUACAACAGCUUCUCUGCCUCUACUCUCAUGAUGUUUAAAAUCAAGUCAAUCCUUUACUUAAAUCGUCACAGUCAUCAACCCAUCUGAACAUCUACAGAAAAUUUUGGGCCAAAUAGUCCCUCCCCCAACACCAUCAUCAUCAUCAUCAAAACACUAAAUGAGAAAAUAUCUUCAGUUGGGAUCAUGUAUCUCUCCCAAACAGUACUGAAGCUAUUUCUGCUUGUUGGUCUUUGUGUGUGUAUCAAUCUGGAAAGACAAUUAUAUUUGUGACAUUUUUCUUAAAGCAUUAAGCCACUGAAUUGCACUGUUAUAUUUUAACAAGGCAUUGAUUGUACACUUUUCUAGAAUCUGCAAAAAGAGACAGAUGAGCACUGAAGUAUCA